UGGGGAAUAUUGGACAAUGGGCGCAAGCCUGAUCCAGCCAUACCGCGUGGGUGAAGAAGGCCUUCGGGUUGUAAAGCCCUUUUGUUGGGAAAGAAAAGCAGUCGAUUAAUACUCGGUUGUUCUGACGGUACCCAAAGAAUAAGCACCGGCUAACUUCGUGCCAGCAGCCGCGGUAAUACGAAGGGUGCAAGCGUUACUCGGAAUUACUGGGCGUAAAGCGUGCGUAGGUGGUUGUUUAAGUCUGUUGUGAAAGCCCUGGGCUCAACCUGGGAAUUGCAGUGGAUACUGGACGACUAGAGUGUGGUAGAGGGUAGUGGAAUUCCUGGUGUAGCAGUGAAAUGCGUAGAGAUCAGGAGGAACAUCCAUGGCGAAGGCAGCUACCUGGACCAACACUGACACUGAGGCACGAAAGCGUGGGGAGCAAACA
This 427-nucleotide ribosomal RNA is filed under the name uncultured Stenotrophomonas sp. RNAcentral describes it as "bacterial SSU rRNA". It matches the Rfam family "Bacterial small subunit ribosomal RNA", at positions 355 to 774 of the family's 1533-position model. Lineage: Bacteria; Pseudomonadati; Pseudomonadota; Gammaproteobacteria; Lysobacterales; Lysobacteraceae. The record is from RNAcentral.